UCUCCUGGAAAACGGGUGGUAAUGCCGGAUGUUCCACAUGAUCGCAUGUGAUUGUGGGAAAGAUUCUAUCGGCGUGGGAUGGGGUCGCGUCCUAUCAGCUUGUUGGUGAGGUAACGGCUCACCAAGGCUUCGACGGGUAGCCGGCCUGAGAGGGCGACCGGCCACAUUGGGACUGAGAUACGGCCCAGACUCCUACGGGAGGCAGCAGUGGGGAAUAUUGCACAAUGGGCGCAAGCCUGAUGCAGCGACGCCGCGUGAGGGAUGGAGGCCUUCGGGUUGUAAACCUCUUUUGUUUGGGAGCAAGCCUUCGGGUGAGUGUACCUUUCGAAUAAGCGCCGGCUAACUACGUGCCAGCAGCCGCGGUAAUACGUAGGGCGCAAGCGUUAUCCGGAUUUAUUGGGCGUAAAGGGCUCGUAGGCGGCUCGUCGCGUCCGGUGUGAAAGUCCAUCGCUUAACGGUGGAUCUGCGCCGGGUACGGGCGGGCUGGAGUGCGGUAGGGGAGACUGGAAUUCCCGGUGUAACGGUGGAAUGUGUAGAUAUCGGGAAGAAC
RNAcentral lists this ribosomal RNA (550 nucleotides) under Bifidobacterium bifidum. RNAcentral's name for it is "bacterial SSU rRNA". It matches the Rfam family "Bacterial small subunit ribosomal RNA", at positions 146 to 707 of the family's 1533-position model. Lineage: Bacteria; Bacillati; Actinomycetota; Actinomycetes; Bifidobacteriales; Bifidobacteriaceae. The record is from RNAcentral.